AUACGGAGGGGGCUAGCGUUGUUCGGAAUUACUGGGCGUAAAGCGCGCGUAGGCGGAUUGGUCAGUUAGGGGUGAAAUCCCAGGGCUUAACCCUGGAACUGCCUCUAAUACUGCCAGUCUUGAGUUCGGGAGAGGUGAGUGGAAUUCCUAGUGUAGAGGUGAAAUUCGUAGAUAUUAGGAAGAACACCAGUGGCGAAGGCGGCUCACUGGCCCGAUACUGACGCUGAGGCGCGAAAGCGUGGGGAGCAAACAGGAUUAGAUACCCUAGUAGUCC
This 274-nucleotide ribosomal RNA is filed under the name uncultured bacterium. Its description in RNAcentral is "partial 16S ribosomal RNA". It matches the Rfam family "Bacterial small subunit ribosomal RNA", at positions 523 to 796 of the family's 1533-position model. The record is from RNAcentral.